UUGACCAAAGACAAACAAAUCUGUGCUAACGAGCAGAAUAUUUGAUAUGACGUAUCUUAGUGCUGAAUCUGUCUGAAAUGUAAUGGGGGGGGGGAAUAGACAAGUUUCAAAACAUUGAUGUCCAAAUCCCAAAAUAAAGUUUGACGGGAAUAGCAGUCAUUUCCUUUGAUAGAAUAGGAAAUAACACUUACUGACCAAAGACAGAAAAAAAAAAGGGUUUGUUACACAGUGGAAUUAUUAAGGCUGUGAGCUGAGGGAAUCCUUACUGUUUUCCAGGCAAAAUUUCUUCCAGCAUUUUUUUUUACAUUCUGAGUUCACGUUAACAAAAUCAACUUUGUCCUUCGUUGUUUUGGGGAUUAAUAACAUAAGUGCCGGUCAAACACCGGGGUUAAUUAGUUUGACCAGCUACCUUCCCCUAAAAUUACUGGCCUUGUACCAAAAUUUGAGACCAUUAUUAUAAGGUGGCAAGUUGGCCGAAUCCUUAGCAACUCAGAAAAGUGCUCAGCGGCGCCACCAAGGUCGAUGAAUAAGUACCAGUUGAUAAUCAACUAGCCUUGUUCCUGUUAUAGAAAAAUUGGAGAGGGGGCCAGUUAAUUAGAUCAACCCUAGUAUGCAACUGGUACUUAAUUUAUCGACCCCUAAAGGAUGAAAGACAAAGUCAACCUCGGCAGAAUUUGAACUCAGAACGUAAAGACAGACGAAAUACCGCCAAGUAUUUCGCCCGGCAUGCUAAUGUUUUUGCCAGCCCACCCACCUUAUUAAGGUAGCAAAAGACGGCAGAAUCGUUAGCACACUGGACGGAACGCUCAGUGGUAUUUCGCCAGUCGCUACAUUCUGGGGCCAACGUUGCCUUUCCUCCUUUUGGGGUCAGUAAAUUAAGUACCAGUGAAACACUGGGGUUGAUAUAAUCGACUAGUUGGCCCUGCCACAAAUUUGAGGCCCUGUGCCUCCAGUAGAAGGGAUUAUUCAGGUUGAAUCAUUAGCAACUUGAACAUCUGAGUUCAAAUUCUGCCAUAGAUGACUUCCAUCCUUUUGGGGUCAAUAUAAUCAACUAACCCCGUCCCCUAAAAUUUCAGGCUUUGUGCCUACAGUAGAAAGGAUUGUUGUUGUUGACAUCCAUCAGAUUAAAAUUCUACUCCUAAGUUAUUUUUUUUAUUUUUUCAUCCCUUCGUCCCACACACAUUUAGGGCCUCCUACCUCUGAUCUGAUAGAAGCUGUGGCGGUUGUUGUUAGGGGCCUGGAUUAAGAGAAUCAUUAGUGUGUUGGACAAAAAGGCCUUACAUUUGCAGAUUUUUAACUUUCAGGCCUGGGUUCAAAUCCUGCCAAGGACAGCAACCGUCUUUCAUUCAGCCCAAAGAGAUGAUGACGAUAGUGGUGGAGGGUGGGGCUCAAUAAAAUGGAGUACCAGUCAAGUAUUGAGGUCAAUGUAAUUAACCUUUCUCCUCCUAUCCUCCCUCCUGUACCCCCCCCCCAAGUUUUCUGGUCUUGUGACCCCCUGUUAAAAUUUAAUUGUUGUUGUUAGCAUCCCUUAUCUUCUGCUGCCAACGCUAUCCAACCUUGUCUUAACAAGGGACUAGUUCCUUGCCUUCGGUAAGACCCACAUACCCCCACCACUCUCUCUCCUCUCCCCCCCUCUCUCACACACACACACACAUACAUGUGCGUCUCUGUUGCCCAGCCUUUAACUAACCUCAUCAUCACUUCCUACCAUGCCCACCCCUUAACAAGAAAAAACGAGCAAUCUAUUUUCAUUGUUUAUAUUUUUUUCCUCAUUGCUGUUUUUGUUGUUGUUGUUGCUGUUACUAUUACUAUUAUUAUUACAAUUUAUUGUGGAUCUUAAUUUCAAUAUUACCAGAUUUUAAAAAAAAUUUUGUUGUUUCUCCCAUUUGUUUUUAUUUCUUUUUACUCUUUAUUUAUUUACAUUUUUGUAUGCCCCCCACCCACCACCCCCAUCAUCAUAUGCAACUCCUCAACUUCCAUCUACAGGUUCCUCCUUGCUUACACACACACACACACACACACACUAACAUGCAUACACACUCACUCACACACACAUAUGUAUGUAUACACACAUCAUCAAGAUAGCCCCCUAACUGAACGUUUGGAUAUGCUAGAAAGUACAGCCAAACCUCUCCUCCAAAUCUCACCCCCCCCUCCCUCACAAUGGGUUACACAAGAAAGGGUGCAUAAUUCUGCCUAUGCUAUGUCUGUAAAUCAAACAAAGAAAAAUGUAGCGCUGGCCAUGGUUGGGAAUGUCUUUGAUCAUUAUGUCCACUGGAUCACGACUGAAAUGGGGCUAAUCUACUACUACUACUACUAUAGAAUAGUGCUUGGAAAAGGAGAAAUAGAGUUUACUGGGUUUAGAAUAAGUGCAAGGAUUGAGUGUGGUGCUAAUGUUUGAAGGCAACCUGGUUGGCGGUGGUGGUGCCGAUGGUUGAGGGAUUGGAGUGUGGCACACAUCAGAAGAGCAUCGUAUAGGGAAAGA
This 2485-nucleotide long non-coding RNA is filed under the name Octopus sinensis (East Asian common octopus). RNAcentral describes it as "uncharacterized LOC118767884". The record is from RNAcentral. Lineage: Eukaryota; Metazoa; Mollusca; Cephalopoda; Octopoda; Octopodidae.